Long non-coding RNA from Homo sapiens (human), 1973 nucleotides. Ensembl annotates it as protocadherin gamma subfamily B, 8 pseudogene. Its record names the gene PCDHGB8P. NCBI's taxonomy places the organism in Eukaryota, Metazoa, Chordata, Mammalia, Primates, Hominidae. The record is from Ensembl.
AUGGGAAACAGGGUGAAGCAGAGAAGCAGGACCCGGCAGUGGCAAGCACUCUUCCCUUUCCUGCUGCCUUUGUUCUGCGGGGCACCCUCGGAGCAGAUCCGCUACUCUAUUCCAGAAGAAACGGUCCAGGGCUCCGUGGUGGGGAACCUUGCGGAGGACAUGCGGCUGCAUGUUCAGGAUUUAUUGACCUGAAACCUUAGAGUUAGUGCAGAGAAACAAUACUUUACCGUGAACACGGAGAAUGGGAACAUACUUGUGAGUGACAGAAUAGAUCGAGAGUCACUGUCUUCAAAAUCCUCUGUGUCAUACCCUUAGAGAUUGUAGCAGAGAAUCCUCUAAAUGUUUUUCACAUAAAUGUGAUGAUAGAAGAUAUAAAUGAUAACCCACCUCAUUUUCCCCAAAAUAGCAUUGUUUUACAAAUCAAUGAACUAGCAAUUCCAGGCAUUCGGUUUGGCCUGGAAUCUGCUAUAGAUGCAGAUGUAGGGCCUCACUCUCUCCAGAGUUACCAGCUCAGUUCUAAUGAACAUUUCUCUCUGAUGAUGGACAAGACUAAAGGCAAGAACGCUCCAGAAUUAGUGCUGGAGAAGCCCCUGGGCCAGGAGCAACAGAGCUCUCAUCUCCUGGUCCUGGAAGCAAUGGACAUGGGUGACCCAGUCCCAACUGGCACUGCUGCAAUUCAAAUUGAGGUCACUGAUGCCAACGAUAAUGCCCCAGUUUUUAGCCAGGAUGUAUACAAAGUCAGCCUUAGAGAGAAUGUGCCCCCAGGCACCUCUGUACUAAAGGUGACAGCCACUGACCAGGAUGAGGGUGUCAAUGCGGAGAUCACCUACUCUUUCAAAUCCCUACGAGAUGAUAUUGGAAAUAUGUUUGUGCUAGACCAUCAAAAUGGGGAAAUUAAAUCCAAAGACUUAAUAGACUUCGAAUUUCGUAGCAGUUAUACCAUGAGAGUAGAAGCUAAGGAUGGUGGAGGCAUGACCAGCGAAUGUAAAAUUAUACUAGAAAUCCUAGAUGAGAAUGACAAUGCCCCAGACGUGGUUUUUACUUCAGUGUCCAGUUCUGUAACUGAGGACGCAGAACCCUGGACGGUGAUCACUCUGUUCAAAACACAUGAUAAAGAUUCGAGAGAAAAUGGGGAGGUUACAUGCCUCAUAAACGAAAGAGUUCCUUUUAGAAUCGAAUCUUCCGCCAAUAAUGACUAUAAGCUUGUAACAGAUGGGACCCUGGAUUGGGAGCGGAUCCCGGAGUACAACGUCACCAUCACUGCCACUGACAAGGGCAAGCCUCCGCUCUCAUCCAGCACAAGCCUCACCCUACGCAUUGGUGAAGUCAACGACAAUGCUCCGGUUUUCCACCAAGUCUCCUACGUGGUCCACGUGGCCGAAAACAACCUUCCCGGAGCCUCCAUCCCACAAGUCAGCGCCUCUGACCUGGACCUAGGGCUGAAUGGCCAAGUCUCCUACUCCAUCGUUACCACUGACUUGGAGCUGCGGGCACUGUCGUCCUACGUGUCCGUGAGCGCACAGAGCGGGGUGGUGGUCGCGCAGCGUGCCUUCGACCACGAGCAGCUGUGCGCCUUCGAGCUCACGAUGCAGGCCCACGACCAGGGCUCGCCCGCGCUCAGCGCCAACAUGAGCCGGCGCAUGUUGGUGGGCGACCUCAAUGACAAUGUGCCGCGGGUGCUGUACCCCGCGCUGGGGCCCGAUGGCUCCGCACUCUUCGAUAUAGUGCCACGCGCCGCAGAGUCCGGCUACCUGGUGACCAAGGUGGUGGCGGUGGACGCAGAUUCGGGACACAACGCUUGGCUGUCCUACCACGUGCUGCAGGCCAUCGAGCCCGGGCUUUUCAGCCUGGGGCUGCACACGGGAACCUGCUGGUUGCUGUGCGUGACGGAGGACAGCCGCCGCUCUCUGCGCCGCUACGCUUCACCUAGUCUUCGCAGACAGCCUGCAGGAGGCACUGCCAGACUUCAGUGA